RNAcentral lists this small RNA (107 nucleotides) under Marmota monax (woodchuck). Lineage: Eukaryota; Metazoa; Chordata; Mammalia; Rodentia; Sciuridae. The record is from RNAcentral.
GCUGGGCAUGGUGGUGCAUACCUGUAAUCCCAGCGACUCAGGAAGCUGAGGCAGGAGGAUUGCAAGUUCCAGGCCAGCCUGGGCAACUUAGUGAGACUCUGUCUCAA